Picea glauca (white spruce) is the source of this 112-nucleotide non-coding RNA. The record is from Rfam. NCBI's taxonomy places the organism in Eukaryota, Viridiplantae, Streptophyta, Pinopsida, Pinales, Pinaceae.
GUAGCAAGCUAAAUGGGAUUGAUUGUGGGGAAAAUCUCUACAGUUAAGCACGCUUGAGCCAGAGGAGUAUUGGGAUGGGUGACCACCUGGGAAGUCUUGGUUACCGGGUGCA